This 427-nucleotide ribosomal RNA is filed under the name uncultured bacterium. RNAcentral's name for it is "bacterial SSU rRNA". It matches the Rfam family "Bacterial small subunit ribosomal RNA", at positions 354 to 796 of the family's 1533-position model. The record is from RNAcentral.
GUGAGGGAUAUUGCACAAUGGGGGAAACCCUGAUGCAGCGACGCCGCGUGGGUGAAGAAGGGCUUCGGCUCGUAAAACCCUUUUCUGCGUGACGAGACAAGGACGGUAGCGCAGGAAUAAGUCUCGGCUAACUACGUGCCAGCAGCCGCGGUAAAACGUAGGAGACGAACGUUAUCCGGAGUUACUGGGCGUAAAGGGCGUGCAGGCGGCAGCCUAAGUCUGGCGUGAAAUAUCCCGGCUCAACCGGGAUAGGUCGUCGGAGACUGGGUCGCUAGAGGGCGGUAGAGGCGUGUGGAAUUCCGGGUGUAGUGGUGAAAUGCGUAGAGAUCCGGAGGAACACCAGUGGCGAAGGCGACACGCUAGGCCGCACCUGACGCUGAGACGCGACAGCAUGGGGAGCGAACGGGAUUAGAAACCCCAGUAGUCC